This 146-nucleotide ribosomal RNA is filed under the name Capronia sp. 97004c. RNAcentral describes it as "partial 28S ribosomal RNA". Lineage: Eukaryota; Fungi; Ascomycota; Eurotiomycetes; Chaetothyriales; Herpotrichiellaceae. The record is from RNAcentral.
UUGACCUCGGAUCAGGUAGGAAUACCCGCUGACUUAAGCAUAAAAAGAAAGACCAGGCACGUUCGUGCAAAUAUGGAAAUGUCUAGCUGAAUUUAGCUCCGACCUAGCCACUUUGCAAACCCUCCACCCGCUGAACUUAAGCAUAA